GUAGGUGGCAAGCGUUGUCCGGAAUUAUUGGGCGUAAAGCGCGCGCAGGCGGUUCUUUAAGUCUGGUGUGAAAGCCCACGGCUCAACCGUGGAGGGUCAUUGGAAACUGGAGAACUUGAGUACAGAAGAGGAAAGCGGAAUUCCACGUGUAGCGGUGAAAUGCGUAGAGAUGUGGAGGAACACCAGUGGCGAAGGCGGCUUUCUGGUCUGUAACUGACGCUGAGGCGCGAAAGCGUGGGGAGCAAACAGGGAUUAGAUACCCUGGUAGUCCACGCCGUAAACGAUGAGUGCUAAGUGUUAGGGGGUUUCCCGCCCCUUAGUGCUGCAGCUAACGCAUUAAGCACCCCGCCUGGGGAGUACGGCCGCAAGGCUG
RNAcentral lists this ribosomal RNA (373 nucleotides) under uncultured organism. Its description in RNAcentral is "partial 16S ribosomal RNA". It matches the Rfam family "Bacterial small subunit ribosomal RNA", at positions 527 to 896 of the family's 1533-position model. The record is from RNAcentral.